RNAcentral lists this ribosomal RNA (504 nucleotides) under uncultured bacterium. RNAcentral describes it as "partial 16S ribosomal RNA". It matches the Rfam family "Bacterial small subunit ribosomal RNA", at positions 29 to 523 of the family's 1533-position model. The record is from RNAcentral.
AUUGAACGCUGGCGGCAGGCCUAACACAUGCAAGUCGAACGGUAGCACAGAGAGCUUGCUCUCGGGUGACGAGUGGCGGACGGGUGAGUAAUGUCUGGGAAACUGCCCGAUGGAGGGGGAUAAGUACUGGAAACGGUAGCUAAUACCGCAUAACGUCGCAAGACCAAAGUGGGGGACCUUCGGGCCUCACACCAUCGGAUGUGCCCAGAUGGGAUUAGCUAGUAGGUGGGGUAAUGGCUCACCUAGGCGACGAUCCCGGACUGGGCGGAGAGGAUGACCAGCCACACUGGAACUGAGACACGGUCCAGACUCCUACGGGAGGCAGCAGUGGGGAAUAUUGCACAAUGGGCGCAAGCCUGAUGCAGCCAUGCCGCGUGUAUGAAGAAGGCCUUCGGGUUGUAAAGUACUUCCAGCGGGGAGGAAGGCGGUGAAGUUAAUAGCUUCACCGAUUGACGUUACCCGCAGAAGAAGCACCGGCCAACUCCGUGCCAGCAGCCGCCGUAA